UCCCCUAGUAACUGCGAGUGAAGCGGGAAGAGCUCAAAUUUUGAAUCUGGCGGUCUUUGGCCGUCCGAGUUGUAAUCUAGAGAAGUGUCUUCCGCGCUGGGCCGUGUACAAGUCUCCUGGAAGGGAGCGUCAUAGAGGGUGAGAAUCCCGUCUUUGACACGGACUACCAGUGCUAUGUGAUGCACUCUCAACGAGUCGAGUUGUUUGGGAAUGCAGCUCAAAAUGGGUGGUAAAUUCCAUCUAAAGCUAAAUACAGGCGAGAGACCGAUAGCGAACAAGUACCGUGAGGGAAAGAUGAAAAGAACUUUGGAAAGAGAGUUAAACAGUACGUGAAAUUGCUGAAAGGGAAACGCUUGAUGUCAGUCGCGUCGGCCAGGGAUCAACCUUGCGUUCUCGCUGGGUGCAUUUCCUGGUCGAUGGGUCAGCAUCAGUUUCGAUCGCCGUAGAAUGGCGAAGGGAAUGUGGCACUCUUCCGAGUGUGUUAUAGCCUUUCGUCGUAUGCCGCGGUCGGGACUGAGGAACUCGGCACGACUUCCGUCUGUGUCUAGGAUGCUGGCAUAAUGNCCUUAAGCGACCCGUCUUGAAACACGG
Molecule: ribosomal RNA, 591 nt
Filed under: Boletellus sinapipes
Lineage: Eukaryota; Fungi; Basidiomycota; Agaricomycetes; Boletales; Boletaceae
Description: eukaryotic LSU rRNA
Rfam family: Eukaryotic large subunit ribosomal RNA
Source: RNAcentral